CGCAAGCCUGACGGAGCAAUACCGCGUGAGGGAGGAAGGCUUUUGGGUUGUAAACCUCUUUUCUCAAGGAAGAAGAAAGUGACGGUACUUGAGGAAUAAGCCACGGCUAAUUCCGUGCCAGCAGCCGCGGUAAUACGGGAGUGGCAAGCGUUAUCCGGAAUCAUUGGGCGUAAAGCGUCCGCAGGUGGUUAUUCAAGUCUGCUGUUAAAGACAGAAGCUCAACUUCUGAAAGGCGGUGGAAACUGGAGAACUAGAGUACGGUAGGGGUCGAGGGAAUUCCCAGUGUAGCGGUGAAAUGCGUAGAGAUUGGGAAGAACACCAGUGGCGAAGGCGCUCAACUGGGCCGUAACUGACACUCAGGGACGAAAGCUAGGGGAGCG
RNAcentral lists this ribosomal RNA (380 nucleotides) under uncultured cyanobacterium. RNAcentral describes it as "bacterial SSU rRNA". It matches the Rfam family "Bacterial small subunit ribosomal RNA", at positions 376 to 770 of the family's 1533-position model. The record is from RNAcentral. Lineage: Bacteria; Bacillati; Cyanobacteriota.